AUGAAGCCUGGCCUCAUCUUCUUGCUAGUGCUCAUACUCACCCUCGGUGGAACAGGAGCCCAGACAGUGACUCAGCCCCCGGACCUCAUCUCUGUCCUUGCAGGGACCCCCGUGCGGCUUGAGUGCAACUACUCAUAUUCUGGGAGCCCUUAUCUCUUCUGGUAUGUCCAAUACCCCAAACAAACCCUCCAGGUUCUCAUGAAUCACCUCUCAGGGAAGAAUGACAAAGGUUUUACGGCCAAGCAUGACAAGGGUACGACUUCCUUCCAUCUGGAGAAAGCGUCAGCCCAGGAGGAAGACUCAGCCACGUACUUCUGCGCCCUGAGUGCCACAGUGACUGGGUGUGCAGGUGAAGCGCAGCUUAAACCCCACGCUCCCAGGAAGUCUGUGAUUCUUGGCCCCAGUGGGGCAUUCUUUCUCUAG
Talpa occidentalis (Iberian mole) is the source of this 423-nucleotide non-coding RNA. The record is from the annotation of a RefSeq genome assembly. NCBI's taxonomy places the organism in Eukaryota, Metazoa, Chordata, Mammalia, Eulipotyphla, Talpidae.